UACAGAGGGUGCAAGCGUUAAUCGGAAUUACUGGGCGUAAAGCGUGCGCAGACGGUUGCGUAAGUCAGAUGUGAAAGCCCCGGGCUCAACCUGGGAAUUGCAUUUGAGACUGCGUAGCUAGGGUGCGGAAGAGGGAAGCGGAAUUUCCGGUGUAGCGGUGAAAUGCGUAGAUAUCGUCAAGAACACCGAUAGUGAAGACAGCUAACUAAGCUUUAACUGACGCUGAGGCACGAAAGUGUGGGGAUCAAACAGG
This 253-nucleotide ribosomal RNA is filed under the name uncultured bacterium. RNAcentral's name for it is "partial 16S ribosomal RNA". It matches the Rfam family "Bacterial small subunit ribosomal RNA", at positions 524 to 776 of the family's 1533-position model. The record is from RNAcentral.